RNAcentral lists this ribosomal RNA (496 nucleotides) under uncultured bacterium. RNAcentral's name for it is "partial 16S ribosomal RNA". It matches the Rfam family "Bacterial small subunit ribosomal RNA", at positions 29 to 507 of the family's 1533-position model. The record is from RNAcentral.
AUGAACGCUGGCGGCGUGCCUAAUACAUGCAAGUCGAGCGAACAGACGAGGAGCUUGCUCCUCUGACGUUAGCGGCGGACGGGUGAGUAACACGUGGAUAACCUACCUAUAAGACUGGGAUAACUUCGGGAAACCGGAGCUAAUACCGGAUAAUAUAUUGAACCGCAUGGUUCAAUAGUGAAAGACGGUUUUGCUGUCACUUAUAGAUGGAUCCGCGCCGCAUUAGCUAGUUGGUAAGGUAACGGCUUACCAAGGCAACGAUGCGUAGCCGACCUGAGAGGGUGAUCGGCCACACUGGAACUGAGACACGGUCCAGACUCCUACGGGAGGCAGCAGUAGGGAAUCUUCCGCAAUGGGCGAAAGCCUGACGGAGCAACGCCGCGUGAGUGAUGAAAGUCUUCGGAUCGUAAAACUCUGUUAUUAGGGAAGAACAAAUGUGUAAGUAACUAUGCACGUCUUGACGGUACCUAAUCAGAAAGCCACGGCUAACUACGUG